Hippopotamus amphibius kiboko is the source of this 2306-nucleotide long non-coding RNA. RefSeq lists it as uncharacterized. The record is from RefSeq and is a predicted model, not a curated record. NCBI's taxonomy places the organism in Eukaryota, Metazoa, Chordata, Mammalia, Artiodactyla, Hippopotamidae. The transcript is spliced from 3 exons.
GCUUCAUACCACAAUGAAGUUUUGCAGUUUCUCUUUAAAAAUAACUCAUGGAACCACUGAAGGCCAAUGUGAGAGAACUCAAGGUUCAGUUAGUCCAGGGGUUCAUAAAAUUUUCACAAACGACUGUACAGUAGAUAUUUUAGGUUAUGACCAUUCAGUCUCUGUCACAACUACUCCACUCUGCUAUUGUAGCUCUAAAGCAGCCAUGGAUAAUAUGCAAACAAAUGGGCAUGGCUAUGUUCCAAUAACACUUUAUUUAUACAAAGAGGUGGGAGGCCAGGUUUUGCUCACAGGCCAUAGUUUGCAAACCUAUGAUUUACUCCAUGCCCUAUUUUUAAAUGAAGAUUUUUAAAUCCAGAGAGAGGGAGAACUUGCUUACAAAGGUAGCGAGAAUAUUGAUAUCAGGAUCUUCAUAUUUCAAAGUUCUCACAGUUGAAAAAUGGGAACAACAGAAUUCAAACUUAGAUUUCCUAACACCAAAUCUAGCAUUAUCCCUGACACACUGUGUAGCUUUGGAUGAGCACAUUUGGUCAAACCAGGUGUGUUCCUUGCUUUAACUUUAAUUAUCUCUGGUCCCAGAAUUCGGGGGAAAAAAGAGAAAAGCAACUUCCCCAAAUAAUAUUUUCUUGGUUUCAAAAUGACUGACUCCAGGUAGAUUUUUCCAGGUUUGUGUUCAUUUCCUUGCCCCCAUCAAAAACUACUGACAUUAAAAAUAAUCUCUUGGGACAAACUGAGAGAGUAGCAUAGACAUAUUUACACUAUCAAUUGUAAAAUAGAUAGCUAGUGGGAAGUUGCUGUAUAACAAAGGGAGAUCAACUCGAUGAUGGGUGAUGCCUUAGAGGGCCAAGACAGGGAGGGUGAGAGAGAGUCCCGGGAGGGAGGGGAUAUGGCGAUAUAUGUAUAAAUACAGCUGAUUCACUUUGGUGUACCUCAAAAGCUGGUACAAGAGUGUAAAGCAAUUAUAUUCCAAUAAAGAGCUUAACAAAUUAUCUCUAAUGAAGUAUCACUUGGAAUUCUGUAUGAUUGGUUUGUUUACGAUUGUAUUUCCCACAAUUGUGAGUCUGAAUUUAAAAAUAAUGAGUACCUUAUAUGCUUCUCUUUCAACAUCAACAAGAGAAUAUUCUGAAUAUUCAGUAUGAGACAAUUUCUGAUUUCACAUUAGCUACUGCCACUAAACUAUCCUCUCAUAUCACAUUUCUUUUGCUAAAUAUGACCAGUUAGGGCAUCAGGCAGUGAACCCCGAGAGCUAGGGAAACUCACUCUUAUCAUCACUGAGUUUCAACUUGAACUGAAAGAUACAGGAAAAAAACAACACAAAUUCAAUCUUACUUGCCACCAGUAAUUAACUGUAUGAUAUUAAGUGAUUUGCUUAUUCUAUCUCAAUCCUCCUAACUCUGAAGCUAAAAUUUACUGCGUACUUCCUACGUGUCAAUCAUUGUACAACAGAUAUACGUAGAUAUACAUUAUUCUUACAUCAUUCUCACAACAAUUCAGCACAUAUAUUGAAUACUUAAUACAUAUUGGCCAUUAUUAUUUUAAUUGCGUGGAACAGAUACUAUUAUUAUUUCCAUUUUAUAGAAGAGGUAGCUGAGGCACACAGAGGCAAGACCCCCCAUCCAAGGUCUCUUGGUGACAGAUCGGAAUGCUAACUAGCAGUAUGAUAUAGCUGUCAACAUAUUGGGCUUCGCUGGAUAUGCCUGGAAUAUUAUGUUAAAUCCUUUAGGAACGGGGAAGAAUUCAGAAUGAGAAAUGGUGCAAAUGACUGAAACAGAUUGGAACAGAAUGAAUGAAGUACCUGGGGAUGUUUUGCUCUUGGAAAAGGACAUAGGGAGCUACAGAGAAGGACAAGAAAGCUUUCUCCAAAUAUUUGAAGACUGUGUGCAAGAAGAAAAAUAUCCUCAGUUCUUCUGGGAGAAGUAAAAUAUGUUGACUUUGCUCAGUGGUUUGAAGGAACAUACUCAUCCUAUUAGCAGUGACAUCUCAGAAAAAUAAAACCCUAAGAAUAAGGAUCCUAUAGGCUUGAUUAGAGGUGUUCCAGUGCAAAUUAGACGACUUCUUGGCAGGCAUGACAUAAAGGGGACUGAGACAUAGUACAGAUGGUUACACCAGGUGCAGUCUGGAUUUGGAGGCUAUACUUCAAGGAAAAAGAAACAGAAACCUCUUUUUAAAUCCUGUGUGCUCAGUAGGAACUGAACAAAACAACUCCCAGAAAGGAACAUUCAUAGGUCAUUUUCUUUUUUGUUUCCAGGAAGCACUUAGUAGGGACCCAACAAAGUAAUUUCUAAGAAAAUACCCAAGCUCUUGCC